This 244-nucleotide ribosomal RNA is filed under the name uncultured bacterium. Its description in RNAcentral is "partial 16S ribosomal RNA". It matches the Rfam family "Bacterial small subunit ribosomal RNA", at positions 264 to 520 of the family's 1533-position model. The record is from RNAcentral.
GUGCCACAGGCGACGACGGGUAGCCGGCCUGAGAGGGUGACCGGCCACACUGGGACUGAGACACGGCCCAGACUCCUACGGGAGGCAGCAGUGGGGAAUAUUGCACAAUGGGCGAAAGCCUGAUGCAGCGACGCCGCGUGAGGGAUGACGGCCUUCGGGUUGUAAACCUCUUUCAGCAGGGAAGAAGCCAAAGUGACGGUACCUGCAGAAGAAGCCCCGGCUAACUACGUGCCAGCCGCCGCGG